GAUGAACGCUGGCGGCGUGCCUAAUACAUGCAAGUCGAGCGAACGGACGAGAAGCUUGCUUCUCUGAUGUUAGCGGCGGACGGGUGAGUAACACGUGGAUAACCUACCUAUAAGACUGGGAUAACUUCGGGAAACCGGAGCUAAUACCGGAUAAUAUUUUGAACCGCAUGGUUCAAAAGUGAAAGACGGUCUUGCUGUCACUUAUAGAUGGAUCCGCGCUGCAUUAGCUAGUUGGUAAGGUAACGGCUUACCAAGGCAACGAUGCAUAGCCGACCUGAGAGGGUGAUCGGCCGCACUGGAACUGGGACACGGUCCAGACUCCUACGGGAGGCAGCAGUAGGGAAUCUUCCGCAGUGGGCGAAAGCCUGACGGAGCAACGCCGCGUGAGUGAUGAAGGUCUUCGGAUCGUAAAACUCUGUUAUUAGGGAAGAACAUAUGUGUAAGUAACUGUGCACAUCUUGACGGUACCUAAUCAGAAAGCCACGGCUAACUACGUG
RNAcentral lists this ribosomal RNA (497 nucleotides) under uncultured bacterium. RNAcentral describes it as "partial 16S ribosomal RNA". It matches the Rfam family "Bacterial small subunit ribosomal RNA", at positions 28 to 507 of the family's 1533-position model. The record is from RNAcentral.